UGCACGGAUACGGACGAUGAGGCUCCUUCGUCGCCGGAGAUUCCCAUUCAAGCAGCAGAUUUGUUUAGGUGUUGGUGCUUGGGCUGCAAUCCGGAACGCCCAGAUGAAUUUCUGUGCUGCCGAAGCGUCGUGCUCAUUUCCCAAAUCUGUGACGAAAACAACAUCGAUUGCAUUGCUCAGCAUCAUAUGUUUCCACUGUUGUGCCUUAACCGCGAAAUUCUCUCAGUUUUCGUACGGCACAUGAGGCACUACAUCCCCACCCAACUGGAGCAACACAGAGACGAGAACAGCACACUCCGGUUUGCAGCAUAUACCUUGUUUGUAUGUUGGGUGUGGGGCCGCCUUGGCCGUGGACAUCGCAGGCAAAUACCCGGCUGCUGCGUAUUAGCUAUUCGCAGUGCAUUUCCAUCAGCAGUGUAUCACGGGUAUCAAGGUGGGAGAGAUGCAACAAACAGUUCCGAUGAGCAAUCUAUUGA
Long non-coding RNA from Ornithodoros turicata, 476 nucleotides. RefSeq lists it as uncharacterized. The transcript is spliced from 3 exons. The record is from RefSeq and is a predicted model, not a curated record. Lineage: Eukaryota; Metazoa; Arthropoda; Arachnida; Ixodida; Argasidae.